CCCUUAGAUGUUCUGGGCCGCACGCGCGCUACACUGACGAAUGCAACGAGCUUAUAACCUUGGCCGAAAGGUCUGGGUAAUCUCCAAAUUUCGUCGUGAUGGGGAUAGAUUAUUGCAAUUAUUAAUCUUCAACGAGGAAUGCCUAGUAAGCGCAAGUCAUCAGCUUGCGUUGAUUACGUCCCUGCCCUUUGUACACACCGCCCGUCGCACCUACCGAUUGAAUGGUCCGGUGAAAUCUUCGGAUCUGAGAGAUGUCUGAUUAAUUUCGGACGCCUUUUGGAAAAGUUGCUUAAACCUUACCAUUUAGAGGAAGGUGAAGUCGUANCA
RNAcentral lists this ribosomal RNA (327 nucleotides) under uncultured eukaryote. RNAcentral describes it as "partial 18S ribosomal RNA". It matches the Rfam family "Eukaryotic small subunit ribosomal RNA", at positions 1470 to 1796 of the family's 1831-position model. The record is from RNAcentral.